RNAcentral lists this ribosomal RNA (300 nucleotides) under uncultured Pyrococcus sp. RNAcentral's name for it is "bacterial SSU rRNA". The stretch from base 52 to 300 matches the Rfam family "Bacterial small subunit ribosomal RNA", at positions 547 to 795 of the family's 1533-position model. Lineage: Archaea; Methanobacteriati; Methanobacteriota; Thermococci; Thermococcales; Thermococcaceae. The record is from RNAcentral.
CGCAUGUGCGGGGCAGGGGCCGGGGGAAGGCGAACCGGGCGAGCGUUAUUGGGAAUGACUGGGCUUAAAGGGGGCGUAGGCGGGGAUUGAAGUCGGUGGUGAAAUCCGCCGGCCUAACUGGAGAAGAGCUGUCGAUACUGGAUGUCUCGAGGGGUGCAGGGGUCUGCGGAACUUCGGGUGGAGCGGUGAAAUGCGUAGAGAUCCGAAGGAACGCCGGUGGCGAAAGCGGCGGACUGGGCACCUUCUGACGCUGAGGCGCGAAAGCCAGGGGAGCAAACGGGAUUAGAUACCCCAGUAGUC